GACGAACGCUGGCGGCGUGCUUAACACAUGCAAGUCGAACGGAAAGGCCCUGCUUUUGUGGGGUGCUCGAGUGGCGAACGGGUGAGUAACACGUGAGUAACCUGCCCUUGACUUUGGGAUAACUUCAGGAGACUGGGGCUAAUACCGGAUAGGAGCUCCUGCUGCAUGGUGGGGGUUGGAAAGUUUCGGCGGUUGGGGAUGGACUCGCGGCUUAUCAGCUUGUUGGUGGGGUAGUGGCUUACCAAGGCUUUGACGGGUAGCCGGCCUGAGAGGGUGACCGGCCACAUUGGGACUGAGAUACGGCCCAGACUCCUACGGGAGGCAGCAGUGGGGAAUAUUGCACAAUGGGCGGAAGUCUGAUGCAGCAACGCCGCGUGCGGGAUGACGGCCUUCGGGUUGUAAACCGCUUUCGCCUGUGACGAAGCGUGAGUGACGGUAAUGGGUAAAGAAGCACCGGCUAACUACGUG
RNAcentral lists this ribosomal RNA (468 nucleotides) under uncultured bacterium. Its description in RNAcentral is "partial 16S ribosomal RNA". It matches the Rfam family "Bacterial small subunit ribosomal RNA", at positions 28 to 507 of the family's 1533-position model. The record is from RNAcentral.